AUGGAAGAACUGGAUGAAGUCUCCUUUGAUCGGAUGACUAAACAUGCAGAAGGAAGAGCUAUAGUAGCAAUGGGGAGUUUCAACUACUCUGAUAUUCAUUGGAAAACAAACUUUGCCAAGAGUAUGAAGUCCAACAAAUUCCUCACUUGCCUUGCAAACUAUUUUAUUGUCCAGAAAGUAGAAGGGCAACAAGGGGAUCAGCCAUUCUGGAUCUGAUUCUAACCAACAGUGAAAGUGAUAGGAUCCUUAGGUGAGAGUGACCAUGUGCUUCUGGAGUUUGUGAUACAAAGGAAGGGUGAAACUUAGAGAAACCAAACACACAUUCUAGGCUUUAGGAGAGCUGACUUCAGGAAAUUUACAAAAAUACUUAGCAUGAUUCCAUGGACAGGAAUACUGAAAGAGAAGGAGUUAAUGAUUAAGGGGAGUUUCUUACAAGUCAGAUACUGAAGGUACAACUGCAAACAGUGCCAGCAAGGAGAAAAAUAUAAGAAGUGUAAAACAACCAGAAUGUAUGUCCAAGGAACUUUUAACUGAACUAAGAUUAUAAAGAGUAAUGUACAAGAAAUGGAAAAGGGGGGAAAUCACCAAAGAAUAAUUCAAACAAAUAACCAACAUAUGUAGGGAAAAGGUUCAUAAGCCUCAGGCACAAAAUGAAUGCAGGUUUGUUUGCCAGAAAGAUUAAAAAGGGGUUCUUUCGUUAUGUGAAUAGAAAAAGGAAGGAAAAAGAAAUGGUAAGGCCUCUGUGUGAAGAAAUGCUAAUAGGGAAAAGACAGAGCUGCUCAACAUCUUCUUUGCCUCAGUCUUCUCCCAAAAGGAGAUUGGUGUUCAACCUGAGCAGUACGGAGUGGAUGGGGUAAUAGGGGAAAUGCAACCCAAAAUAAGUAAAGAAGUAGUCCAGGCAUACCUGGCUACUCUAAAUUAAUUCAAGUCUCCAGGGCCAGAUUAACUACAUCCAAGAGUAUUGAAGGAACUAGCAGAAAUAAUUUCAAAACUACUGGCAAUAAUCUUGGAGAAUUCUUGGAGAACAGGAAAAGACCC
This 1038-nucleotide long non-coding RNA is filed under the name Anolis carolinensis (green anole). RNAcentral's name for it is "lncRNA (ENSACAG00000040818.1)". The record is from RNAcentral. Lineage: Eukaryota; Metazoa; Chordata; Lepidosauria; Squamata; Anolidae.